CACGUAGGAGGCAAACGUUGUCCGGAUUUACUGGGCGUAAAGCGCAUGUAGGUGGUUCUGUAAGUAGGGCGUGAAAGCUCCCGGCUCAACUGGGAGAGGCCGUUCUAAACUACAGAGCUAGAGGAUGGUAGAGGGAGGUGGAAUUCCGGGUGUAGCGGUGGAAUGCGCAGAUAUCCGGAGGAACACCAGUGGCGAAAGCGGCCUCCUGGUCCAUUCCUGACACCCAGAUGCGAAAGCUAGGGUAGCAAACGGGAUUAGAUACCCGCGUAGUCCCUGA
Molecule: ribosomal RNA, 277 nt
Filed under: uncultured prokaryote
Description: partial 16S ribosomal RNA
Rfam family: Bacterial small subunit ribosomal RNA
Source: RNAcentral